AGUCGUCGCUUUUGUUUCUCUUACAAUUACAAUGCAAAGCAAACUAUUUUCAUCUCUUUGCCUUCCUUGACCUUCAAUGAAUUCUUAAAUUCGAGAAUAAGUAUUGUGUUAAUUACAAUAGACUCUGUAACGUUUCAGUAUUUUUUUCGUCUGAUGAUUUCGUUUUUUAUAAAUAGGAGAUGGAUGAGUGAGGCUGUGACGAUCGCUCGCAAUCAUUCUCAGUUUAAAUUUGUUCCUUCAGCUUCCAAAGAAUCUCAGAAAGAUGUCUUCCUCCGUUGCCGCCAUUGUUGCUCCAACAUCGUUCGACGGUCUCCGCCUAGAUAGAUCUACUCAAUUCGUCGUGGCUCGCCUUCUGCCAUGGGACUCCAGAAACAUUAAGAAGCAAGGUGAAUUCAUGGGAAUCACCUUGCUUUUCCUUGAUGAGCAGAAUUCUGUGAUCCAUGGAUUAAUUCCUGCUGCUCGCGGUCACUACCGUACAAGUUUACAAGUCUAAACCCACAAAAAAUGGAGGGAACUUAAUAAUAUAUUUUUAACUAAGAUUACAUUAGUGAAUAAACGAUUAUUCUCCUUUCAUCAGAAAACAUGUUCCUCCACUCCACGGCUGGCACCAAGUUUUAUUUCGGAAACAAUAUCACUGCAAUCACAGAGUUCACAAUGAGUUUAAGAGAUGCAGUAGGCGAGGACUUACCAAGUCUUAAAGCAGAAACAAUGAUCACUACCAAAGAACUUAGCCCAAUGGGAGAUCUCAGCAUGUUCCUCUCCAGCUCUUCUAGCCAGGAAGCUUAUUUUACUUGCAUGGAUUGUUGAGGUUGUUGCACAGAAUGGCUGGUACUACAUCUCUUGCACUCACUGCGGGAAAGAACAUGUGAACUCAGCCACAUCUCACCCCUGCGACCAGUGUAAUGAUAUCAAUGCCACCACUGUUGUGAGGUGCAAGGUUGAAUUAUUGGUCGAUGAUGGUAAAAAUUAUGCCACUUUCUUGGUGCUCGACAAGGAGAUGAUGAAGCUCACUAAACAAGAUGCAGCAACUCUACUUGAUGAUGAGGUGAAUCGUGGUCUAGGCAAUACACUCCCAAAAUGUAUUGCAGAACUUCAAGGCCGAGUUUUUAUUUAUCAUGUACAUGUGACGCCGUACAAUUUCACAGACAACACCCGUACCUUCACCAUUUCUGGAAUGAACUACAAGGAGAAUUUAACCAUCAAUGCAAACAAAAAAAAAGUAAAAGUGGAAUAUGGAGAAGCAUCAACUUCCGCUGCUGCCACCUACACAUCAACAAAUGAAGCGAACAAAGAUGGGCCC
Long non-coding RNA from Raphanus sativus (radish), 1300 nucleotides. RefSeq lists it as uncharacterized. The transcript has 7 exons. Lineage: Eukaryota; Viridiplantae; Streptophyta; Magnoliopsida; Brassicales; Brassicaceae. The record is from RefSeq and is a predicted model, not a curated record.